CGGGAUGUAGCGCAGCCUGGUAGCGCACCUGCUUCGGGAGCAGGGGGUCACAAGUUCAAAUCUUGCCAUCCCGACCA
This 77-nucleotide transfer RNA is filed under the name Desulfuromonadales bacterium. Its description in RNAcentral is "tRNA-Pro". It matches the Rfam family "tRNA". Rfam says of the family: Transfer RNA (tRNA) molecules are approximately 80 nucleotides in length. Their secondary structure includes four short double-helical elements and three loops (D, anti-codon, and T loops). Lineage: Bacteria; Pseudomonadati; Thermodesulfobacteriota; Desulfuromonadia; Desulfuromonadales. The record is from RNAcentral.